GUGCAGUGGCGCGUCUACCAUGCAGUCGAGCGGUAAGGCCUUUCGGGGUACACGAGCGGCGAACGGGUGAGUAACACGUGGGUGAUCUGCCCUGCACUUCGGGAUAAGCCUGGGAAACUGGGUCUAAUACCGGAUAUGACCUCCUAUCGCAUGGUGGGUGGUGGAAAGAUUUAUCGGUGCAGGAUGGGCCCGCGGCCUAUCAGCUUGUUGGUGGGGUAAUGGCCUACCAAGGCGACGACGGGUAGCCGACCUGAGAGGGUGACCGGCCACACUGGGACUGAGACACGGCCCAGACUCCUACGGGAGGCAGCAGUGGGGAAUAUUGCACAAUGGGCGAAAGCCUGAUGCAGCGACGCCGCGUGAGGGAUGACGGCCUUCGGGUUGUAAACCUCUUUCAGCAGGGACGAAGCGCAAGUGACGGUACCUGCAGAAGAAGCACCGGCUAACUACGUGCCAGCAGCCGCGGUAAUACGUAGGGUGCAAGCGUUGUCCGGAAUUACUGGGCGUAAAGAGUUCGUAGGCGGUUUGUCGCGUCGUUUGUGAAAACCAGCAGCUCAACUGCUGGCUUGCAGGCGAUACGGGCAGACUUGAGUACUGCAGGGGAGACUGGAAUUCCUGGUGUAGCGGUGAAAUGCGCAGAUAUCAGGAGGAACACCGGUGGCGAAGGCGGGUCUCUGGGCAGUAACUGACGCUGAGGAACGAAAGCGUGGGUAGCGAACAGGAUUAGAUACCCUGGUAGUCCACGCCGUAAACGGUGGGCGCUAGGUGUGGGUUCCUUCCACGGAAUCCGUGCCGUAGCUAACGCAUUAAGCGCCCCGCCUGGGGAGUACGGCCGCAAGGCUAAAACUCAAAGGAAUUGACGGGGGCCCGCACAAGCGGCGGAGCAUGUGGAUUAAUUCGAUGCAACGCGAAGAACCUUACCUGGGUUUGACAUAUACCGGAAAGCUGCAGAGAUGUGGCCCCCCUUGUGGUCGGUAUACAGGUGGUGCAUGGGCUGUCGUCAGCUCGUGUCGUGAGAUGUUGGGUUUAAGUCCCGCAACGAGCGCAACCCCUAUCUUAUGUUGC
This 1065-nucleotide ribosomal RNA is filed under the name Rhodococcus qingshengii. RNAcentral's name for it is "bacterial SSU rRNA". It matches the Rfam family "Bacterial small subunit ribosomal RNA", at positions 33 to 1118 of the family's 1533-position model. The record is from RNAcentral. Lineage: Bacteria; Bacillati; Actinomycetota; Actinomycetes; Mycobacteriales; Nocardiaceae.